This 4149-nucleotide long non-coding RNA is filed under the name Sus scrofa (pig). RNAcentral describes it as "lncRNA (ENSSSCG00000060521.1)". The record is from RNAcentral. Lineage: Eukaryota; Metazoa; Chordata; Mammalia; Artiodactyla; Suidae.
UUUUUUUUAUUUUCCCACUGUACAGCAAGGGAGUCAGGUUAUCCUUACAUGUAUACAUUACAAUUACAGUUUUUCCCCCACCCUUUCUUCUGUUGCAACAUGAGUAUCUAGACAUAGUUCUCAAUGCUAUUCAGCAGGAUCUCCUUGUAAAGACAAAACUUUCUUUGAAAAAGACACAUGCACCCACAUGUUCGUGGCAGCACAAUUUGCAAUAGCCAAAACAUGGAAACAACCUAAAUGUCCAUCGACAGAUGACUGGAUUAAGAAGAUGUGGUAUAUAUACACAAUGGAAUACUACUCAGCCAUAAGAACAAAAUAAUGCCAUUUGCAGCAACAUAGAUAGAACUGGAGACUUUCAUACUAAGUGAAGUAAGUCAGAAAGAGAAGACAAAUACCAUAUGAUUUCACUUAUAUCUGGAAUCUAAUACAUGGCACAAAUGAACCUUACCACAGAAAAGAAAAUCAUGGACAUGGAGAACAGACUUGUGGUUGCCAAGAGGGAGGGAGAGGGAAUGGGAGACUGGAAAUUUGGGGUUAAUAGAUGCAAACUAUUGCCUUUGGAAUGGAUAAGCAAUGGGAUCCUGUUGUAUAGCACUGUGAACUAUGCCUGGUCAAUUAUGACGGAGCAUGAUAAUGUGAGAUAAAAGAAUGUAUACAUGUAUGUGUGACUGGCCCACCUUGCUGUGCAGUAGAAAACUGACAGAAACUAAAUCAGCUAUAAUGUAAAAAAAUAAAAACUAUUUAAAAAAUUCUAUUUGUAUUGAUUCGCAUUUCCCUUUGCUUUUGUACCAUUUCCAAGAAGAGAAAGAAAAGGUCAACAUUAUGCUACCAGCUUCAAGCCAAACAUCUCUUUAAUGAUUAUAAAUUUACCAGUUCAGUAUCCAAUCAACAAAGAAUUAAGAUUAAAAAAAAUUUUUUUCCAGAGUUCCUGUUAUGGCUCAGCAGAAACAAAUCUGACUAGCAUCCAUGAGCACUCAGGUUCGAUCCCUGGCCUUGCUCAGUGGGUUAAGGAUCCAGUGUUGCCAUGAGCUGUGGUGUAGGUUGCAGAUUCGGCUCUGAUCUGAUGUUGCCGUGGCAUAGGCCAGAGGCUGCAGCUCCAAUUCGACCCCUAGCCUAGGAACCUCCAUAUGCUGCAGGUAUGGCCCUAAAAAGAAAAAAAAAUUCCAAGAUGCCAAAAUAUUAUGAGGUGGCAAUUUAUUUUUUUAUGUUAACAUCUUGGCCUGGGAAUCACCAGAUCUUCCAAACGGUGUAAAUUCAGACUCCAAAUCACUGUAAUGUGCAGGCCUGGGAUGUCAAAUUUUAGGGGUGCAAAAUUUUUUUCACCUAAAGCCCAGUUAUAUAUCCAUUUUCCUAUCACGUCCUUAUUUUGGUAAUGAGUAGAGUUUUUCCUAAUUCUCCUUUCCCUUAAUCUGCAAUCCACCAAGGGUCCUCCUAGCUUUAUACAGAAGCCUCCAUCCUAUCUCAUUUCCCAAAGCACAUUUUUCUUUCCCUAUGUGGGUGUCGAAACCCAAUCCAACCUCCUGGAGUUCUCACUACAGUAAGGUGAGGAACAAGGCAAGGACCUUAGGUCCUAAAUAGUACAUCAAGCAAGAAAAAGAAACCAAAGACAUCCAGGUUAAUUAACCAAAAAAACUCCCUAUAGAAUAGCUCAACCGUAACGAAUCUUCACCUCCCCUAAUAAUGCAUAGCUAUCAAGUGCUCUGGCAUUUAUCCGGGAUCUGCCCUCCAAGCAAGUGAAGGAUAUGCGUAGACAAGGCUCCUGGUUCAGGUCUUUGAGCAAAGAGAAAAGCAGAAGACGAUAUGGAAUAACCCCAGAUCUCACAACAGCAAGAUUUUUUAAAUUUUUUUUAAAUAAGAAGUGCCUGGAGAAAGGCACUUUAGAGGGAAUUCAGGCCAGAAAACUCUGGUGAAGGUCCACAGUUGAAGAAAAAUAUUUCAAACUUAUAGGACUAUAUCCCACCACAUUAUCAAUCACGUGUAAGGACAGGCAGAGACUUCAGGACAUACAAAUAUAUGGAGAAUAUUUACUGCCUAAAAGAAAAAUUUGUUCUAGAUAAUUCUUUAGUAAAACAAAAGAAGAAACCACAAAAAAACUUCCAGUUUCCAGUAAUGGCAGACAAAUUUAUUCAGAAGGCAACUGAAACACUGGAUAAAACCUUUUUUAAAAAUCAUUUUACCUAAAGGGGAAAACAAAAAGAAUAAGCAAGAAAAUAAGCAGAAAACCAAACUGAAGAUAAAAUAGAAAACCAAGGAUAUAAGUGAGCAUGGAAUCUGCUUUGUCCCUAAGGGUAUUUGCCAGUUCUAGGAUCUAGGACUUUCUUUUUGUGGUUUCAAAAGGCAAUAAAAACAGAAUUAACAUCAAAGACCUACACAAAAUAGGGAAGCUAAUAGAAACCUCUCUCCACAAUUAACAUAGACCCUUUCUCCACAGUUCACAGAGACCCUAAUGGGUUAUAUCCUUAGGAUAAGGGUGAAGCAGAGGUAAACAGACGCUUGUGCAGCCUUGCUAUGUGGGUCUAUAUCACUGCACACCCAGGGACUCUCAAGCCUUGAACUUGGACUAAGACGAUCCUAGAUCAGCUGUGGCCCCAGGUAUCUAGCAAAAGCAAAUGCAAAUCUCCUCUGGAGGAAGAGAUAUUCAUUUCAUACAUAAAAUCAUUCCUACACAUAAUCUUAAAUGUGCAGUGAAAACAAUACAGUCAAAUCAGGUACAUGAGGAAACAGAUCAUGAGCAAGAACCAGAAAAAUAAACAUCAGAAAGUCCCCCAAAGCUUCACAUAUUGAUGUUAUCAGACCCAGAUUAUAAAAUUACUAUGCUUGCUCUGUUAAAACAAGUUUUGUAUGUGUGUGUGUGUCUGUUUAGGGCUGCACCUCCAGCAUAUGGAGGUUCCUAGGCUUGGGGUAGAAUCAGGAGCUGUAGCCGCCAGCCUUCACCACAGCCACAUCAAUGCCAGAUCCGAGCCACAUCUGCAACCAACACCACAGUUCAUGGUGACGCCAGAUUCUUUAACCCACUGGGCGAGGCUAGGGAUCGAACCUGCAUCCUCAUGGAUGCUAGUCACUGAGCCAUGACAGGAACUCCUAAAACAAGUGUUUAAAACAGAUUUUAAAAUAUCUGCUCUGAGAACAGGAAAAACUAACCUUACAUAUUUGAAAAACCACCAAAGAGAAAUUCUAGAACUGAAAAAUUAAAUACCUAAAAUGAAGAAUACAGUGGAUAUAUUUAAGAUACAGACAAAUCUAUAAGAUAAAUCAUAAGAAAUAACCAGAAUGCAGACCAAAGUAAUUUAAAAAGUGGUACUGACCUAAAAUCAACGGAAGAUAUUUCUCCAGCAAAAAUGGGUCUAUUUGAGAUCAGCAGAGAAUUGCAAUUCAGGGUCAACAACCAUGAUGAGCCAUAUGCCAACUUCCCACACAGCAGGAGAACAUUUUUAUACAGGGAAAAAAGUUGGGAAAGCCAUAGAAAACAAAGAAUCCAUGGUUUUUCAUUGUCUGAAUUGUUGCCAGAAAAAAGGAACUCUUCCUGUUGGGCUCUGCUAUUGUCAUAUAAGAGAUCCCCAGUCUAAUCUCCAAACUGUUAUUUACUUGAGGUUUCCAUUUAUUAUUACAAUUUUUUGUUUUUGUUUUUUAGGGCUGCAGGUACGGCAUAUGGCAGUUCCCAAGCUAGGGGUCACAUCGAAGCUACAGCCACAGCCACAGGGGGAUCUGAGCUGUAUCUGCGACCUACACCACAGCUCAUGGUAAUGCCAGAUCUCCGACCCACUGAGUGAGGCCAGGAAUUGAAUCCACAUCUUCAUGAAUACUAGUCAGAUUUGCUUCCACUGCACCACAACCAGAACUCCUAUUUUUUUUUUUUAAGUAGGAAAUAUAAGAGAAAAUAGAGUGAGGCAGUGUAACAUACAUUUAAUCAAAUACCCAGAAGACAAAGAGAAGCAAUAGAGUAUGAACAAUCCUCAAAAGGAUAAUGGCUGAGAAUUUUCUAGAACCAAAAAUACCAAUCUGGACGGGGGGGGGGGGGGGGAUCUCAGCACCAAACUCCCUCCCCUACAAAAAACCAAACAAAACAGAACAAAAAAACCUUCUAAACACCUUUUUUUUUUUUUUUUUUGCUUUUUAGGGCCGCACCCACGGCAUAUGGAGGUUCCCAGG